Molecule: transfer RNA, 72 nt
Filed under: bacterium
Lineage: Bacteria
Description: tRNA-Val
Rfam family: tRNA
About the family: Transfer RNA (tRNA) molecules are approximately 80 nucleotides in length.
Source: RNAcentral
GGGUGAUUAGCUCAGAGGCAGAGCGCUUCCUCUACACGGAAGAGGCCACUGGUUCAAAUCCAGUAUCACCCA